Molecule: ribosomal RNA, 387 nt
Filed under: uncultured bacterium
Lineage: Bacteria
Description: bacterial SSU rRNA
Rfam family: Bacterial small subunit ribosomal RNA
Source: RNAcentral
AUUGAACGCUGGCGGCAUGCCUUACACAUGCAAGUCGAACGGCAGCACGGGAGCAAUCCUGGUGGCGAGUGGCGAACGGGUGAGUAAUGUAUCGGAACGCGCCUUGUCGUGGGGGAUAACGUAGCGAAAGCUACGCUAAUACCGCAUACCAUCUAAGGAUGAAAGCGGGGGGAUCGCAAGACCUCGCGCGACAAGAGUGGCCGAUAUCAGAUUAGGUUGUUGGUGGGGUAAAGGCCUACCAAGCCGACGAUCUGUAGCUGGUCUGAGAGGACGACCAGCCACACUGGGACUGAGACACGGCCCAGACUCCUACGGGAGGCAGCAGUGGGGAAUUUUGGACAAUGGGCGAAAGCCUGAUCCAGCAAUGCCGCGUGCAGGAUGAAGGCC